AUAAAGGUUAUGAGAAAGAGGAGUACAUAUCAUAACACUAUUUAAAGAGAAAGUGUCUGUUGCCGUUGGCUUCGCUGAGAGGAUGCUGGUAGUGAUGAUAUGGAAGGUAGCUUUUGAACCGGACACUCAGAAAUGAUGGCUUUUAUAGCAAUUUAUCAAUAAGUGUCCCCGCGUUAUCUGCGUUAUCGGAUAGAGUAUUUAAGUUUAUCUUAGAUGCUUAAUGAGGCAAAGAGUAUAUCUUUGUGAACUAAGGUGGUACCACGUUAAUUACGUCCUUAGC
This 280-nucleotide non-coding RNA is filed under the name Butyrivibrio hungatei. RNAcentral describes it as "T-box sequence". It matches the Rfam family "T-box leader". Rfam says of the family: Uncharged tRNA acts as the effector for transcription antitermination of genes in the T-box leader family. T-boxes are found upstream of many aminoacyl-tRNA synthetase genes and some amino acid biosynthetic genes usually in Gram-positive bacteria. Lineage: Bacteria; Bacillati; Bacillota; Clostridia; Lachnospirales; Lachnospiraceae. The record is from RNAcentral.